GUGCUUGCUUCGGCAGCACAUAUACUAAAAUUGGAACGAUACAGAGAAGAUUAGCAUGGCCCCUGCGCAAAGGAACCUGACGGAUCUUCUCUGAGGAACCUGACGGAUCU
Molecule: small nuclear RNA, 110 nt
Filed under: Sinocyclocheilus grahami
Lineage: Eukaryota; Metazoa; Chordata; Actinopteri; Cypriniformes; Cyprinidae
Source: RNAcentral